GACGAACGCUGGCGGCGUGCUUAACACAUGCAAGUCGAACGGAAAGGCCCUGCUUUUGUGGGGUGCUCGAGUGGCGAACGGGUGAGUAACACGUGAGUAACCUGCCCUUGACUUUGGGAUAACUUCAGGAAACUGGGGCUAAUACCGGAUAGGAGCUCCUGCUGCAUGGUGGGGGUUGGAAAGUUUCGGCGGUUGGGGAUGGACUCGCGGCUUAUCAGCUUGUUGGUGGGGUAGUGGCUUACCAAGGCUUUGACGGGUAGCCGGCCUGAGAGGGUGACCGGCCACAUUGGGACUGAGAUACGGCUCAGACUCCUACGGGAGGCAGCAGUGGGGAAUAUUGCACAAUGGGCGGAAGCCUGAUGCAGCAACGCCGCGUGCGGGAUGACGGCCUUCGGGUUGUAAACCGCUUUCGCCUGUGACGAAGCGUGAGUGACGGUAAUGGGUAAAGAAGCACCGGCUAACUACGUGCCAGCAGCCGCGGUGAUACGUAGGGUGCGAGCGUUGUCCGGAUUUAUUGGGCGUAAAGGGCUCGUAGGUGGUUGAUCGCGUCGGAAGUGUAAUCUUGGGGCUUAACCCUGAGCGUGCUUUCGAUACGGGUUGACUUGAGGAAGGUAGGGGAGAAUGGAAUUCCUGGUGGAGCGGUGGAAUGCGCAGACAUCAGGAGGAACACCAGUGGCGAAGGCGGUUCUCUGGGCCUUUCCUGACGCUGAGGAGCGAAAGCGUGGGGAGCGAACAGGCUUAGAUACCCUGGUAGUCCACGCUGUAAACGGUGGGUACUAGGUGUGGGGUCCAUUCCACGGGUUCCGUGCCGUAGCUAACGCUUUAAGUACCCCGCCUGGGGAGUACGGCCGCAAGGCUAAAACUCAAAGGAAUUGACGGGGCCCCGCACAAGCGGCGGAGCAUGCGGAUUAAUUCGAUGCAACGCGUAGAACCUUACCUGGGUUUGACAUGGAUCGGGAGUGCUCAGAGAUGGGUGUGCCUCUUUUGGGGUCGGUUCACAGGUGGUGCAUGCCUGUCGUCAGCUCGUGUCGUGAGAUGUUGGGUUAAGUCCCGCAACGAGCGCAACCCUUGUUCACUGUUGCCAGCACGUUAUGGUGGGGACUCAGUGGAGACCGCCGGGGUCAACUCGGAGGAAGGUGGGGAUGACGUCAAGUCAUCAUGCCCCUUAUGUCCAGGGCUUCACGCAUGCUACAAUGGCUGGUACAGAGAGUGGCGAGCCUGUGAGGGUGAGCGAAUCUCGGAAAGCCGGUCUCAGUUCGGAUUGGGGUCUGCAACUCGACCUCAUGAAGUCGGAGUCGCUAGUAAUCGCAAAUCAGCAACGCUGCGGUGAAUACGUUCCCGGGGCU
RNAcentral lists this ribosomal RNA (1346 nucleotides) under uncultured bacterium. RNAcentral's name for it is "partial 16S ribosomal RNA". It matches the Rfam family "Bacterial small subunit ribosomal RNA", at positions 28 to 1381 of the family's 1533-position model. The record is from RNAcentral.